Sebastes umbrosus (honeycomb rockfish) is the source of this 2319-nucleotide long non-coding RNA. RefSeq lists it as uncharacterized. The transcript has 3 exons. Lineage: Eukaryota; Metazoa; Chordata; Actinopteri; Perciformes; Sebastidae. The record is from RefSeq and is a predicted model, not a curated record.
UCCGCUCUCUGUCCUCGCAGCGUUCCCAUCUUAUCUUCCUGCUUCAUGAUGUUUGUUUGGAGACCUCCAGGUUUUCUGUGUUUCUGAUGACAGUGAACACAUGUGAGCCGCCGUGUGGACUCCACUCCAACAAAUCCUCUUUACUGCUGCUAUCAGGAAGGCUGCAGCUCCGUGGUGUCAGAACGGAGGCUGAAGUGCAAACUGUGAUCCAGAUCCCACCGUUUCCACAACUAUUUUUAUCGCUCGCUAAUUAGCGAGACUUUUAAUUUGUGCUUCGUCCUCCAGACGGACCACAGGGGGUUUAAUACUCCACAACCUGACGCUCCCUCUCGCACCUCCACCAUCAUGUUGCCGGUGACAACUAACGAACGAUGGGGAAAGUAUCUUUAUAUUGUUUAAUAUUAACUUAAUAUUAACUUAACUGAAUGUUUGAAUGCCUGGUGUUUCCAAAUGAAGUUUGCCAUUUGAUUCCAAAUAUCACAUUUUUAUGACUUUUUUAUAACAUUUUUAUGGCCCACUAUCACGUUUUAUGACAUUUUUUACGAUAUGCUAUACUAUGACUUUUUAUAUGACAUGCCUUGAGCACAUAAAGACCUGGGUGACCUGUAAUUUUCGGAUGUUAAACGCAUACAAAACUGAAGUUAAUACACGUAGAUGGCAUUGCCCCGGCCUCCAGCACCACCAUCUAUAUAACAGAGAUAUCUUUGAUCAGGAUACGUCCGUUAUCUCCCACAUGAAACAAACUUCGAGGAUCACCUUCUUUCAUCUACGUAACAAUGGAAAAAUCAGGCACUUCCUAUCUCAAAACAAUUCCUUACACUCCCAAUAAUUUCCAGUUGAUCCAGAAUAUUUUAAUAAUAUUUUUAUUUAAGAAAAACAUUAGUAUUCACAGAUAUUUAACACAGAGCAUUUUCACUUUCCCACUGCCUAGACAAAAAAACAUAUAAUAACAUAUCUACACAGAGAACGAUGGUUCAAAAUUAAGUAAUACGUUUAAAAAAAAUUAUAAUAAUGUAAAUAACAAAAAAGAAAUGAAUAAAUAAAAUAAAAUAAAUAAAAAUAUAUCCAGCAAACACAUUAAAAUAAAACAUACAUACAGAUUAAUGAAUUCAACAUUUUGCAUAGGAAAAGAUAAACACAUUUUGGGAUGUUCAAGUUAAAUUACAGUGCCUGCCUAAAUUUGGAGAAGAGACUAACUAUAAAUAAAUAAGAUAUUAAAGGGUCCCAUGUUGUAUGGAUUUUUUGGGUUGACCCUCUAACGUAAUAUUUUAUCUUUUCUAACUUAAGGAAGAGCAUCAGGUCAUUCAUCAGAGCGAAAGCUUUCGGUGGUUGUGUUCGAUUUCCUCUCCAACAAAAUCCUUCUAGAGAUCCUUCAACAAGAACACUGCAAAACAAUCAGAGCAAUAGUCAUAAUCACAGCAUAUUAAAAGAAAUGUGUGACGACCCCUCCACUCCACUAGGUGUCCUGUGUCUCUUUGCUGGUUCUCCUUUGUUUUGCAGGAGAGAGGGUCGUCAGGCUGAUGAGCCACACCUGGCCUUGGUGUGGUUGGGAUAAAAGCUCUCUACCUUUCAACAGAUGUGGCUCUCUUCCUUGGCUGGCACACCUGUUUUGGUUUUGUUUGCGGGAGACAUUUUCACAUGCCCACAUCACUGAUUACUGACUUUCCACGUUUAUUUAGUUAUUUAUUGUUAGUUUGUUAAAUAAAUGCCUGUUACUAUUUUUAAACUUGUCUGGUCUCCCAUUUUUGUUGCAACCUUUGAGCCGGGUUGUAACAAAUGCAUGUUACUAACUUAACAUCUGGGUAAUUGUCCCCUGAGUUUUAGUUCUUUCUGUUUGUUGCCGUGUUUCUGCUUGAUGUCCACAGCUACUAUUUUCAUUAUUAUCAUUAUUGUUAUUAUUAGUCAUAUUUCUAUUAUUUUUAAGGUUCUUAUUGUAAUCCUUAAUGCUGUGCAUCUCUCUGUCUCCCCGUCUCUUCUCUCCCUCUCAUAGUUCUGCUUCAAGUUUUCAUCUCGUGAAAGGACCUCUACGCCUCCAGGACCCUAAGAAUUGAAGGGAAGGACUGUGGCCGACCCCUCACAACGUGGACACAUACUUUUUGCACAUCCUGUACAAAACUAUCGCUAUAAAAAAUAUUUUAUUUUACAUAUUGCAGACAUUUUGUAAAUAUUUGUUAGGAAAUUAUUAUAGAACAUUUUUCAUAUUUGUAUUUUCAUUUUUCUAUUUCAUAUUUAUGUUCUUGAGUUUUGCAGUACUUUGCUUGUAUUUUCAUCUCUUCUUAAUAUGACUAUUGUAGUGUUUUAACCAAAAUUCAUGGCAAA